CGAUUGACACGACUCUCGGCAAUGGAUAUCUCGGCUCUCGCAUCGGUGAAGAGCGCAGCGAAAUGCGAUAUGUGGUGCGAAUUGCAGAAUCCCGCGAACCAUCGAGUCUUUGAACGCAAGUUGCGCCUGAGGCGAACCGGGUAAGGCCACGACCGCCUGGGCGUAAAG
RNAcentral lists this ribosomal RNA (168 nucleotides) under Dendrobium brymerianum. RNAcentral's name for it is "5.8S ribosomal RNA". It matches the Rfam family "5.8S ribosomal RNA". From Rfam's summary of the family: 5.8S ribosomal RNA (5.8S rRNA) is a component of the large subunit of the eukaryotic ribosome. It is transcribed by RNA polymerase I as part of the 45S precursor that also contains 18S and 28S rRNA. Functionally, it is thought that 5.8S rRNA may be involved in ribosome translocation. Lineage: Eukaryota; Viridiplantae; Streptophyta; Magnoliopsida; Asparagales; Orchidaceae. The record is from RNAcentral.